Molecule: ribosomal RNA, 2926 nt
Filed under: Salmonella enterica subsp. enterica serovar Newport str. CVM N18486
Lineage: Bacteria; Pseudomonadati; Pseudomonadota; Gammaproteobacteria; Enterobacterales; Enterobacteriaceae
Also listed under: 1 other name
Description: bacterial LSU rRNA
Rfam family: Bacterial large subunit ribosomal RNA
Source: RNAcentral
GGGUUGUGAGGUUAAGCGACUAAGCGUACACGGUGGAUGCCCUGGCAGUCAGAGGCGAUGAAGGACGUGCUAAUCUGCGAUAAGCGCCGGUAAGGUGAUAUGAACCGUUAUAACCGGCGAUUUCCGAAUGGGGAAACCCAGUGUGAUUCGUCACACUAUCAUUAACUGAAUCCAUAGGUUAAUGAGGCGAACCGGGGGAACUGAAACAUCUAAGUACCCCGAGGAAAAGAAAUCAACCGAGAUUCCCCCAGUAGCGGCGAGCGAACGGGGAGGAGCCCAGAGCCUGAAUCAGCAUGUGUGUUAGUGGAAGCGUCUGGAAAGGCGCGCGAUACAGGGUGACAGCCCCGUACACAAAAGCGCAUGUGCUGUGAGCUCGAUGAGUAGGGCGGGACACGUGGUAUCCUGUCUGAAUAUGGGGGGACCAUCCUCCAAGGCUAAAUACUCCUGACUGACCGAUAGUGAACCAGUACCGUGAGGGAAAGGCGAAAAGAACCCCGGCGAGGGGAGUGAAAAAGAACCUGAAACCGUGUACGUACAAGCAGUGGGAGCACAGGUUUACCUGUGUGACUGCGUACCUUUUGUAUAAUGGGUCAGCGACUUAUAUUCUGUAGCAAGGUUAACCGAAUAGGGGAGCCGGAGGGAAACCGAGUCUUAAUUGGGCGUUAAGUUGCAGGGUAUAGACCCGAAACCCGGUGAUCUAGCCAUGGGCAGGUUGAAGGUUGGGUAACACUAACUGGAGGACCGAACCGACUAAUGUUGAAAAAUUAGCGGAUGACCUGUGGCUGGGGGUGAAAGGCCAAUCAAACCGGGAGAUAGCUGGUUCUCCCCGAAAGCUAUUUAGGUAGCGCCUCGUGAACUCAUCUCCGGGGGUAGAGCACUGUUUCGGCUAGGGGGCCAUCCCGGCUUACCAACCCGAUGCAAACUGCGAAUACCGGAGAAUGUUAUCACGGGAGACACACGGCGGGUGCUAACGUCCGUCGUGAAGAGGGAAACAACCCAGACCGCCAGCUAAGGUCCCAAAGUCAUGGUUAAGUGGGAAACGAUGUGGGAAGGCCCAGACAGCCAGGAUGUUGGCUUAGAAGCAGCCAUCAUUUAAAGAAAGCGUAAUAGCUCACUGGUCGAGUCGGCCUGCGCGGAAGAUGUAACGGGGCUAAACCAUGCACCGAAGCUGCGGCAGCGACACUGUGUGUUGUUGGGUAGGGGAGCGUUCUGUAAGCCUGUGAAGGUGGCCUGUGAGGGUUGCUGGAGGUAUCAGAAGUGCGAAUGCUGACAUAAGUAACGAUAAAGCGGGUGAAAAGCCCGCUCGCCGGAAGACCAAGGGUUCCUGUCCAACGUUAAUCGGGGCAGGGUGAGUCGACCCCUAAGGCGAGGCCGAAAGGCGUAGUCGAUGGGAAACAGGUUAAUAUUCCUGUACUUGGUGUUACUGCGAAGGGGGGACGGAGAAGGCUAUGUUGGCCGGGCGACGGUUGUCCCGGUUUAAGCGUGUAGGCUGGUUUUCCAGGCAAAUCCGGAAAAUCAAGGCUGAGGCGUGAUGACGAGGCACUACGGUGCUGAAGCAACAAAUGCCCUGCUUCCAGGAAAAGCCUCUAAGCAUCAGGUAACAUCAAAUCGUACCCCAAACCGACACAGGUGGUCAGGUAGAGAAUACCAAGGCGCUUGAGAGAACUCGGGUGAAGGAACUAGGCAAAAUGGUGCCGUAACUUCGGGAGAAGGCACGCUGACACGUAGGUGAAGUGAUUUACUCACGGAGCUGAAGUCAGUCGAAGAUACCAGCUGGCUGCAACUGUUUAUUAAAAACACAGCACUGUGCAAACACGAAAGUGGACGUAUACGGUGUGACGCCUGCCCGGUGCCGGAAGGUUAAUUGAUGGGGUCAGCGCAAGCGAAGCUCCUGAUCGAAGCCCCGGUAAACGGCGGCCGUAACUAUAACGGUCCUAAGGUAGCGAAAUUCCUUGUCGGGUAAGUUCCGACCUGCACGAAUGGCGUAAUGAUGGCCAGGCUGUCUCCACCCGAGACUCAGUGAAAUUGAACUCGCUGUGAAGAUGCAGUGUACCCGCGGCAAGACGGAAAGACCCCGUGAACCUUUACUAUAGCUUGACACUGAACAUUGAGCCUUGAUGUGUAGGAUAGGUGGGAGGCUUUGAAGCGUGGACGCCAGUCUGCGUGGAGCCGACCUUGAAAUACCACCCUUUAAUGUUUGAUGUUCUAACGUGGACCCGUAAUCCGGGUUGCGGACAGUGUCUGGUGGGUAGUUUGACUGGGGCGGUCUCCUCCUAAAGAGUAACGGAGGAGCACGAAGGUUGGCUAAUCCUGGUCGGACAUCAGGAGGUUAGUGCAAUGGCAUAAGCCAGCUUGACUGCGAGCGUGACGGCGCGAGCAGGUGCGAAAGCAGGUCAUAGUGAUCCGGUGGUUCUGAAUGGAAGGGCCAUCGCUCAACGGAUAAAAGGUACUCCGGGGAUAACAGGCUGAUACCGCCCAAGAGUUCAUAUCGACGGCGGUGUUUGGCACCUCGAUGUCGGCUCAUCACAUCCUGGGGCUGAAGUAGGUCCCAAGGGUAUGGCUGUUCGCCAUUUAAAGUGGUACGCGAGCUGGGUUUAGAACGUCGUGAGACAGUUCGGUCCCUAUCUGCCGUGGGCGCUGGAGAACUGAGGGGGGCUGCUCCUAGUACGAGAGGACCGGAGUGGACGCAUCACUGGUGUUCGGGUUGUCAUGCCAAUGGCACUGCCCGGUAGCUAAAUGCGGAAGAGAUAAGUGCUGAAAGCAUCUAAGCACGAAACUUGCCCCGAGAUGAGUUCUCCCUGAGACUUUAAGUCUCCUGAAGGAACGUUGAAGACGACGACGUUGAUAGGCCGGGUGUGUAAGCGCAGCGAUGCGUUGAGCUAACCGGUACUAAUGAACCGUGAGGCUUAACCUUACAACGCCGAAG